GGAGCAUGUGGUUUAAUUCGAUGAUACGCGAGGAACCUUACCAAGACUUAAAUGGGAAUUGACAGGUUUAGAAAUAGACUCUCCUUCGGGCAAUUUUCAAGGUGCUGCAUGGUUGUCGUCAGCUCGUGCCGUGAGGUGUUAGGUUAAGUCCUGCAACGAGCGCAACCCCUGUCACUAGUUGCUAACAUUUAGUUGAGGACUCUAGUGAGACUGCCUACGCAAGUAGAGAGGAAGGUGGGGAUGACGUCAAAUCAUCACGGCCCUUACGUCUUGGGCCACACACGUAAUACAAUGGCCGGUACAGAGGGCAGCUACACAGCGAUGUGAUGCAAAUCUCGAAAGCCGGUCUCAGUUCGGAUUGGAGUCUGCAACUCGACUCUANGAANNNNNAUCGC
This 395-nucleotide ribosomal RNA is filed under the name Chryseobacterium sp. AZTITEMP80. RNAcentral describes it as "bacterial SSU rRNA". It matches the Rfam family "Bacterial small subunit ribosomal RNA", at positions 934 to 1325 of the family's 1533-position model. The record is from RNAcentral. Lineage: Bacteria; Pseudomonadati; Bacteroidota; Flavobacteriia; Flavobacteriales; Weeksellaceae.